CUCGUAGGCGGUCUGUCACGUCGGGCGUGAAAAUCCAGGGCUUAACCCUGGACCUGCGUUCGAUACGGGCAGACUAGAGUUCGGUAGGGGAGACCGGAAUUCCUGGUGUAGCGGUGAAAUGCGCAGAUAUCAGGAGGAACACCGGUGGCGAAGGCGGGUCUCUGGGCCGAUACUGACGCUGAGGAGCGAAAGCGUGGGGAGCGAACA
RNAcentral lists this ribosomal RNA (207 nucleotides) under uncultured bacterium. Its description in RNAcentral is "partial 16S ribosomal RNA". It matches the Rfam family "Bacterial small subunit ribosomal RNA", at positions 568 to 774 of the family's 1533-position model. The record is from RNAcentral.